GCCUACGGGGGGCAGCAGUAGGGAAUCUUCCACAAUGGGCGAAAGCCUGAUGGAGCAACGCCGCGUGGGUGAAGAAGGUCUUCGGAUCGUAAAACCCUGUUGUUAGAGAAGAAAGUGCGUGAGAGUAACUGUUCACGUUUCGACGGUAUCUAACCAGAAAGCCACGGCUAACUACGUGCCAGCAGCCGCGGUAAUACGUAGGUGGCAAACGUUAUCCGGAUUUAUUGGGCGUAAAGGGAACGCAGGCGGUCUUUUAAGUCUGAUGUGAAAGCCUUCGGCUUAACCGGAGUAGUGCAUUGGAAACU
Molecule: ribosomal RNA, 305 nt
Filed under: uncultured bacterium
Lineage: Bacteria
Description: bacterial SSU rRNA
Rfam family: Bacterial small subunit ribosomal RNA
Source: RNAcentral